RNAcentral lists this ribosomal RNA (518 nucleotides) under Salmonella enterica subsp. enterica serovar Typhimurium. RNAcentral describes it as "partial 23S ribosomal RNA". It matches the Rfam family "Bacterial large subunit ribosomal RNA", at positions 2267 to 2784 of the family's 2925-position model. Lineage: Bacteria; Pseudomonadati; Pseudomonadota; Gammaproteobacteria; Enterobacterales; Enterobacteriaceae. The record is from RNAcentral.
AGUUUGACUGGGGCGGUCUCCUCCUAAAGAGUAACGGAGGAGCACGAAGGUUGGCUAAUCCUGGUCGGACAUCAGGAGGUUAGUGCAAUGGCAUAAGCCAGCUUGACUGCGAGCGUGACGGCGCGAGCAGGUGCGAAAGCAGGUCAUAGUGAUCCGGUGGUUCUGAAUGGAAGGGCCAUCGCUCAACGGAUAAAAGGUACUCCGGGGAUAACAGGCUGAUACCGCCCAAGAGUUCAUAUCGACGGCGGUGUUUGGCACCUCGAUGUCGGCUCAUCACAUCCUGGGGCUGAAGUAGGUCCCAAGGGUAUGGCUGUUCGCCAUUUAAAGUGGUACGCGAGCUGGGUUUAGAACGUCGUGAGACAGUUCGGUCCCUAUCUGCCGUGGGCGCUGGAGAACUGAGGGGGGCUGCUCCUAGUACGAGAGGACCGGAGUGGACGCAUCACUGGUGUUCGGGUUGUCAUGCCAAUGGCACUGCCCGGUAGCUAAAUGCGGAAGAGAUAAGUGCUGAAAGCAUCUAA